Molecule: ribosomal RNA, 305 nt
Filed under: uncultured bacterium
Lineage: Bacteria
Description: partial 16S ribosomal RNA
Rfam family: Bacterial small subunit ribosomal RNA
Source: RNAcentral
ACAGCAGCCGCCGCGUUAAUACGUAGGCCCCGAGCGUUGUCCGGAUUUAUUGGGCGUAAAGCGAGCGCAGGCGGUUAGAUAAGUCUGAAGUUAAGGGCUGUGGCUUAACCAUAGUAUGCUUUGGAACCUGUUUAACUUGAGUGCUAGAGGGGAGAGUGGAAUUCCAUGUGUAGCGGUGAAAUGCGUAGAUAUAUGGAGGAACACCGGUGGCGAAAGCGGCUCUCUGGCUUGUAACUGGCGCUGAGGCUCGAAAGCGUGGGGAGCAAACAGGAUUAGAUACCCCCGUAGUCCCUGUCUCUUAUACA